GUUCGCCAAAGGUCUCCUCAACCCCAGUUCAGUGAUAUAAUUUUGGUUUCUGAAGAGUGUUGACAUUUAUGGAUCGUCUGGUUGGAGAACUAAAGAAAUUUCUGGCAAGUGGAUACCACAUUGACAAGGUGCUCAUCAGCUGGUACAAUGGACCUUUAUCUCAGAGUUUAAAUUUAUUUGCAAGUGAUCUGAAAAGUCCAAGGUUAAGAUGCAAGACUGGCUAGAAGGAUAAGCAGUGGGAACAACGGCACAGGAGAUGUCCUUAUGGGUCCCCAACACUUUCUCUUUUGCCCUUUGGCAG
This 301-nucleotide long non-coding RNA is filed under the name Homo sapiens (human). RNAcentral's name for it is "HSALNT0337811". Lineage: Eukaryota; Metazoa; Chordata; Mammalia; Primates; Hominidae. The record is from RNAcentral.